UGCUGCCGGGGAGGCGCCCGCCGUCCCCCCGGCCCCACCGGCCGCUGCCCUCUCGCCCUCCGGGCGCUGGGGCUGCUGGUCGGAACACGGCGCGGGAUGACGCCAAGGAACACGAGAAAGCUGAGGCGCCGGCGGGCCGCUCGAGGUCCGCGCCGGUCGCCGAGGCCAACGAAAAAGAAAAUAUGACUCUCGGCAACGGAUAUCUCGGCUCUCGCAUCGAUGAAGAACGUAGCGAAAUGCGAUACGUGGUGUGAAUUGCAGAAUCCCGUGAACCAUCGAGUCUUUGAACGCAAGUUGCGCCCGAGGGACCCUCCCGAGGGCACGCCUGCCUCAUGGGCGUUAGAAGCCCAUCCACGCUCGCUGCCUGACGGCAGGGAYGCGGACAUUGGCCCUCCGAACCGCGAGGUGCGGUGGGCCCAAGUGUGCGGCCGUCGUGCGUGGCCGGGAGCGGCGAGUGGUGGGCUACUGCGCGCGCCACCCCGAGCCCCGUACCGACACGGGGCCUUUUCUGACCCCCUAACGAGGAGCGYGCGGCGCUCGCGCCGCGCGGUGUCUUCGGACC
RNAcentral lists this ribosomal RNA (562 nucleotides) under Carex distachya. RNAcentral's name for it is "eukaryotic LSU rRNA". The stretch from base 185 to 339 matches the Rfam family "5.8S ribosomal RNA". The record is from RNAcentral. Lineage: Eukaryota; Viridiplantae; Streptophyta; Magnoliopsida; Poales; Cyperaceae.